Armigeres subalbatus is the source of this 636-nucleotide long non-coding RNA. RefSeq lists it as uncharacterized. The record is from RefSeq and is a predicted model, not a curated record. The transcript has 3 exons. Lineage: Eukaryota; Metazoa; Arthropoda; Insecta; Diptera; Culicidae.
AUUUCUAAACAUAUUAGUAGCUCUGAUGGAAUUUUCCCGAAUUCCUUGUUUUAAAAAUUGAUUCCCCGAAUUUAUUGUUUUAAAAAUAAAUAAAUAAAAUACUAAGUUCUAAUUGGAUAAAGCAGUUUACUGGCUACAGAACAAAGCAUUUGAAUUGGAGUUUACGCUAAAAAAAAUUGGAAGGUACUUCUUGCUACGCUCUCGGAGAAGUUCUCGGACAAGAUCAUGGACUCAUUUCUGGUUUAUUUGAUGACUGAAACGUCAGGGCUUUCUCAGAUGAUACAUUACGCAUGGCGUGUGAUGCAUGAUGAACAUCAGCAGAAGAUGUGCUGUGGCAGAGUAUAAUAAAUAUUGCAAAUUUUGCGCCGUGUUCGACUCCCAUGCAGAAAAUUUUGUCCCACCAAAAUAUGUUCCCACCAGUUUCUCCAUAUAUGGAUGACGUCUCAACUGCAAGAAAGAGCUUUUGGGGUGUGAAAAAGGUGCAAUAAUGAUGUUUUGGGAUUGUGCUUUCGCUAAUUUCUAUACAAUUCGACGUGUGAGCAUUUGUUUUGGUACUUCGACAAAUUUGCACGGUAGUAUAUUCUUCGGUGAGAAAAGCAAUAUAUAAUAAAAGAUUAAACAUUGAAACACAUUUCU